Molecule: ribosomal RNA, 224 nt
Filed under: uncultured bacterium
Lineage: Bacteria
Description: partial 16S ribosomal RNA
Rfam family: Bacterial small subunit ribosomal RNA
Source: RNAcentral
GAUCCUGGCUCAGGAUGAACGCUGGCGGCGUGCUUAACACAUGCAAGUCGAGCGAAGCACUCUGCUUUGAUUCUUUCAGGAUGAAGAGCAUUGUGACUGAGCGGCGGACGGGUGAGUAACGCGUGGGUAACCUGCCUCAUACAGGGGGAUAACAGUUAGAAAUGGUUGCUAAUACCGCAUAAGACCACAGCACCGCAUGGUGCAGGGGUAAAAACUCCGGUGGU